Molecule: ribosomal RNA, 1351 nt
Filed under: uncultured bacterium
Lineage: Bacteria
Description: bacterial SSU rRNA
Rfam family: Bacterial small subunit ribosomal RNA
Source: RNAcentral
AUUCCUAGUGAUUAGAGUUUGAUCAUGGCUCAGAACGUACGCUGGCGGCACGCCUAACACAUGCAAGUCGAACGAAGUAGCAAUACUUAGUGGCAGACGGGUGAGUAACAUGUAGGUAUCUGCCCUUUGGCCUGGAAUAACACGAGGAAACUUGUGCUAAUACCGGAUAAGUCUUCACAGAGAAAGCUUUAUGCACCAUUGGAUGAGCCUGCACUUGAUUAGUUUGUUGGUAGGGUAAUGGCCUACCAAGACUGUGAUCAAUAGCUGAUUUGAGAGGAUGAUCAGCCACAUUGGGACUGAGACACGGCCCAAACUCCUACGGGAGGCAGCAGUGGGGAAUCUUGCACAAUGGAGGAAACUCUGAUGCAGCGAUGCCGCGUGAGUGAAGAAGGCCUUUGGGUUGUAAAGCUCUUUCGUCGGGGAAGAAAAUGACUGUACCCGAAUAAGAAGGUCCGGCUAACUUCGUGCCAGCAGCCGCGGUAAUACGAAGGGACCUAGCGUAGUUCGGAAUUACUGGGCUUAAAGAGUUCGUAGGUGGUUGAAAAAGUUGGUGGUGAAAUCCCAGAGCUUAACUCUGGAACUGCCAUCAAAACUUUUCAGCUAGAGUUUGAUAGAGGAAAGCAGAAUUUCUAGUGUAGAGGUGAAAUUCGUAGAUAUUAGAAAGAAUACCAAUUGCGAAGGCAGCUUUCUGGAUCAUUACUGACACUGAGGAACGAAAGCAUGGGUAGCGAAGAGGAUUAGAUACCCUCGUAGUCCAUGCCGUAAACGAUGUGUGUUAGACGUUGGAAAUUUAUUUUCAGUGUCGCAGCGAAAGCGAUAAACACACCGCCUGGGGAGUACGACCGCAAGGUUAAAACUCAAAUGAAUUGACGGGGACCCGCACAAGUAGUGGAGCAUGUGGUUUAAUUCGAAGAUACGCGCAGAACCUUACCAACACUUGACAUGUUCGUCGCGACUUUAAGAGAUUAAAGUUUUCGGUUCGGCCGGACGAAACACAGGUGCUGCAUGGCUGUCGUCAGCUCGUGUCGUGAGAUGUUGGGUUAAGUCCCGCAACGAGCGCAACCCUCACUUUUAGUUGCCAUCAUUAAGUUGGGCACUCUGAAAGAACUGCCAGUGAUAAGCUGGAGGAAGGUGGGGAUGACGUCAAGUCCUCAUGGCCCUUACGUGUUGGGCUACACACGUGCUACAAUGGUAUUUACAACAGGAAGCAAGACGGCGACGUCAAGCAAAUCCUUAAAAAAUACCUCAGUUCGGAUUGCACUCUGCAACUCGAGUGCAUGAAGCUGGAAUUACUAGUAAUCGUGGAUCAGCGUGCCACGGUGAAUGCGUACCCGGGUCUGUACACACCGCC